This is a long non-coding RNA of Cynocephalus volans (Philippine flying lemur), 733 nucleotides long. RefSeq lists it as uncharacterized. The transcript has 5 exons. The record is from RefSeq and is a predicted model, not a curated record. Lineage: Eukaryota; Metazoa; Chordata; Mammalia; Dermoptera; Cynocephalidae.
CCGCUGACGUCGUCGAGGCGCGUACUCGUCCUGCCUGUAGGGUAGUUGCCGUGAACCUGUCAGUCGCGUGACAAUUAUAUCACAUUUGUGAAGAUAUGCCAUUAAUCCCGCAGAAAGAGAUGACCAAUUCAACUGCCUGAGGAAGAGGUAGUGAAGGCAGUUAACUGAGUCCUUAGAUCCCUGAUAACCUGUGUGAGGUGGAGACAGCCCAAGGGCAGCACUUUCUGGCCAGCAUGCCCCCAAAGUACUGACACAUCUUCUGGAUCAAGAAGGUGCUUAGCCUAGUACCUGGCACACAUCAGAAUCUGAAUAAAUCAUGGAAGAAUGAAUAAGUGAAGUCCACGGAAGGACACUGAGGACAGCAUUUCAGCUCCUGAGUCUCCUCCUGACCCCAGGGCAGAAAGUUGCAUCCUUGUAACCGAGGACCCUGAGUGAAAUGUGACUUCAACAUGAUAGGCGGCAUUUAAGAUCUAAAAGAGAACACACAAAAGAAAAAUACGCCCUGAGUAGAUUUCAAAAAUGGCUAUUUCAAAAAUGCACUAAAUGAUAUUUACGUCAAGAGCACAGUCCAGUCUAAGGAUUUCCAGAUUUAUCCCUCAAUAUAUAUGCGGAGUCAACGCAAGUUGAUCAUCUAUUUUCGUGGCCAUUUAGGCCAUUUUACUUCAUCUUCAUGUUCAUCAGCUUAACUGUAAUUUUACAGCUCACCAGCACCUCUCAUAGGCAGUGGCCAUGU